RNAcentral lists this ribosomal RNA (468 nucleotides) under uncultured bacterium. Its description in RNAcentral is "partial 16S ribosomal RNA". It matches the Rfam family "Bacterial small subunit ribosomal RNA", at positions 28 to 507 of the family's 1533-position model. The record is from RNAcentral.
GACGAACGCUGGCGGCGUGCUUAACACAUGCAAGUCGAACGGAAAGGCCCUGCUUUUGUGGUGUGCUCGAGUGGCGAACGGGUGAGUAACACGUGAGUAACCUGCCCUUGACUUUGGGAUAACUUCAGGAAACUGGGGCUAAUACCGUAUAGGAUCUCCUGCUGCAUGGUGGGGGUGGGAAAGUUUCGGCGGUUGGGGAUGGACGCGCGGCUUAUCAGCUUGUUGGUGGGGUAGUGGCUUACCAAGGCUUUGACGGGUAGCCGGCCUGAGAGGGUGACCGGCGACAUUGGGACUGAGAUACGGCCCAGACUCCUACGGGAGGCAGCAGUGGGGAAUAUUGCACAAUGGGCGGAAGCCUGAUGCAGCAACGCCGCGUGCGGGAUGACGGCCUGCGGGUUGUAAAACGCUUUCGCCUGUGACGAAGCGUGAGUGACGGUAAUGGGUAAAGAAGCACCGGCUAACUACGUG